GAUGAACGCUGGCGGCGUGCCUAACACAUGCAAGUCGAACGGAGUCCAGCCUUUAAGACCUUCGGGUCAAAGAGGGGAAGACUGAGUGGCGGACGGGUGAGUAACACGUGGGCAACCUGGCUCAUAGAGGGGGAUAACAGAGAGAAAUUUCUGCUAAUACCGCAUAAGCACACACUGCCGCAUGGCAGAGGGUGAAAAGAGAAUCGCUAUGAGAUGGACCCGCGUCUGAUUAGCCAGUUGGCAGGGUAAGAGCCUACCAAAGCGACGAUCAGUAGCCGAUCUGAGAGGAUGAACGGCCACAUUGGGACUGAGACACGGCCCAAACUCCUACGGGAGGCAGCGGUGGGGGAUAUUGCACAAUGGGGGGAACCCUGAUGCAGCGACGCCGCGUGAGUGAAGAAGUAUUUCGGUAUGUAAAGCUCUAUCAGCAGGGAAGAUAAUGACAGUACCUGAAUAAGAAGCCCCGGCUAACUACGUG
Molecule: ribosomal RNA, 478 nt
Filed under: uncultured bacterium
Lineage: Bacteria
Description: partial 16S ribosomal RNA
Rfam family: Bacterial small subunit ribosomal RNA
Source: RNAcentral